RNAcentral lists this ribosomal RNA (267 nucleotides) under uncultured bacterium. RNAcentral describes it as "partial 16S ribosomal RNA". It matches the Rfam family "Bacterial small subunit ribosomal RNA", at positions 793 to 1055 of the family's 1533-position model. The record is from RNAcentral.
GUCCACGCCCUAAACGAUGUCAACUAGGUGUUGGGGGAGGAGACUUCCUUAGUACCGCAGCUAACGCGUGAAGUUGACCGCCUGGGGGAGUACGGUCGCAAGAUUAAAACUCAAAGGAAUUGACGGGGACCCGCACAAGCGGUGGAUUAUGUGGAUUAAUUCGAUGCAACGCGAAAAACCUUACCUACCCUUGACAUGCCAGGAACUUGCCAGAGAUGGCUUGGUGCCCGAAAGGGAACCUGGACACAGGUGCUGCAUGGCUGUCGU